AUGACAUUAGCUUCUCCUUUAUUACUAUAUUUCAUCAGUUUAUUGGAAAUCGAAAUAUCACUUGAAACUUCUAUGCUUGUGGCACCUUUGAUAUUUAGUUCAUUGGUCUUUUAUAUGCUGGUGAUGGAGGCAAAUCCUCUUGAGCUGAAAGUCGUAAAUUAUCCUUUUGAGUUGUUGCUUUCUGCAAGUACAUCAAGAUUCUUAAUAUUUGUACCGCGACUAAUAUUUGAACUUCUACUUUACCCAAAACUCUCAGAGGUGUAG
This 264-nucleotide ribosomal RNA is filed under the name Triticum aestivum (bread wheat). Its description in RNAcentral is "partial small subunit ribosomal RNA". The record is from RNAcentral. Lineage: Eukaryota; Viridiplantae; Streptophyta; Magnoliopsida; Poales; Poaceae.